This 52-nucleotide ribosomal RNA is filed under the name Dischidia astephana. RNAcentral's name for it is "partial 26S ribosomal RNA". Lineage: Eukaryota; Viridiplantae; Streptophyta; Magnoliopsida; Gentianales; Apocynaceae. The record is from RNAcentral.
CAGCGACCCCAGGUCAGGCGGGGCUACCCGCUGAGUUUAAGCAUAUCAAUAA